AUUGAACGCUGGCGGCAGGCCUAACACAUGCAAGUCGAACGGUAGCACAGAGAGCUUGCUCUCGGGUGACGAGUGGCGGACGGGUGAGUAAUAUCUGGGAAACUGCCCGAUGGAGGAGGAUAACUACUGGAAACGGUAGCUAAUACCGCAUAACGUCGCAAGACCAAAGUGGGGGACCUUCGGGCCUCACACCAUCGGAUGUGCCCAGAUGGGAUUAGCUAGUAGGUGGGGUAAUGGCUCACCUAGGCGACGAUCCCUAGCUGGUCUGAGAGGAUGACCAGACACACUGGAACUGAGACACGGUCCAGACUCCUAUGGGAGGCAGCAGUGGGGAAUAUUGCACAAUGGGCGCAAGCCUGAUGCAGCCAUGCCGCGUGGAUGAAGAAGGCCUUCGGGUUGUAAAGUACUUUCAGCGGGGAGGAAGGCGGUGAAGUUAAUAGCUUCACCGAUUGACGUUACCCGCAGAAGAAGCACCGGCUAACUCCGUGCCAGCCGCCGCGGUAA
RNAcentral lists this ribosomal RNA (504 nucleotides) under uncultured bacterium. Its description in RNAcentral is "partial 16S ribosomal RNA". It matches the Rfam family "Bacterial small subunit ribosomal RNA", at positions 30 to 523 of the family's 1533-position model. The record is from RNAcentral.